UAGUAACGGCGAGUGAAGCGGGAACAGCUCAAAUUUGAAAUCUGGCCUUCGGGUCCGAAUUGUAAUUUGCAGAGGAUGCUUUUGGUUAGGUACUUUCCGAGUUCCCUGGAACGGGACGCCUUAGAGGGUGAGAGCCCCGUACGGUUGGAUACCGAGCCUUUGUAAAGCUCCUUCGACGAGUCGAGUAGUUUGGGAAUGCUGCUCUAAAUGGGAGGUAAAUUUCUUCUAAAGCUAAAUACCGGCCAGAGACCGAUAGCGCACAAGUAGAGUGAUCGAAAGAUGAAAAGCACUUUGAAAAGAGGGUUAAAUAGCACGUGAAAUUGUUGAAAGGGAAGCGUUUAUGACCAGACUUUUUCCAGGCGGAUCAUCCGGUGUUCUCACCGGUGCACUUCGUCUGGUUGAGGCCAGCAUCGGUUUUCGUAGAGGGAUAAAAGCAGUAGGAAUGUGAUUCCCCCGGGAAUGUUAUAGCCUAUUGUAUAAUACCUUUAUGGGGACCGAGGUUCGCGCUCUGCAAGGAUGCUGGCGUAAUGGUCAUCAACGACCCGUCUUGAAACACGGACCAAGGAGUCGAACAUUUGUGCAAGUGUUUGGGUGUUAAACCCUCACGCGUAAUGAAAGUGAACGGAGGUGAGAGCCCUUACGGGUGCAUCAUCGACCGAUCCUGAUGUUUUCGGAUGGAUUUGAGUAAGAGCAUAACUGUUCGGACCCGAAAGAUGGUGAACUAUGCGUGGAUAGGGUGAAGCCAGAGGAAACUCUGGUGGAGGCUCGCAGCGGUUCUGACGUGCAAAUCGAUCGUCAAAUCUGCGCAUGGGGGCGAAAGACUAAUCGAACCAUCUAGUAGCUGGUUACCG
RNAcentral lists this ribosomal RNA (851 nucleotides) under Beltraniella fertilis. RNAcentral's name for it is "eukaryotic LSU rRNA". It matches the Rfam family "Eukaryotic large subunit ribosomal RNA", at positions 81 to 960 of the family's 3401-position model. Lineage: Eukaryota; Fungi; Ascomycota; Sordariomycetes; Amphisphaeriales; Beltraniaceae. The record is from RNAcentral.